GCCAGGCAUAGUGGUGUAUGCCUGUACUCCCAGCUACUUGGGAGGCUGAGGUGGGAGGAUCGCUUGAGCCCAGAAAUUUGAAGCGGCAGUGAGCUAUGAUUGCACCGCUGCACUCCAGACUGGGCAACAGAGUGAGAUCCUGUCACUA
RNAcentral lists this non-coding RNA (148 nucleotides) under Chlorocebus sabaeus (green monkey). The record is from Rfam by way of RNAcentral. Lineage: Eukaryota; Metazoa; Chordata; Mammalia; Primates; Cercopithecidae.